GCUCUCAUAGCUCAAUUGGUUAGAGCACCCACUUAAUAAGUGGAAGACUUGCGUUUGACUCUCUAUUAGAGCA
Molecule: non-coding RNA, 73 nt
Organism: Nicotiana attenuata
Lineage: Eukaryota; Viridiplantae; Streptophyta; Magnoliopsida; Solanales; Solanaceae
Source: Rfam